AGUUUAAGUGAUGAGUUUCUUUACCGCCCCAGUCUGAAGAUUCAUGACUGAUUGGUUACCCCUCUGAUUACUA
Molecule: small nucleolar RNA, 73 nt
Organism: Etheostoma spectabile (orangethroat darter)
Lineage: Eukaryota; Metazoa; Chordata; Actinopteri; Perciformes; Percidae
Source: RefSeq, a predicted model, not a curated record